Molecule: ribosomal RNA, 253 nt
Filed under: uncultured bacterium
Lineage: Bacteria
Description: partial 16S ribosomal RNA
Rfam family: Bacterial small subunit ribosomal RNA
Source: RNAcentral
UACGUAGGGUGCAAACGUUGUUCGGAAUCACUGGGCAUAAAGCGUAUGUAGGCGGCUCCGUAAGUGUCGGGUGAAAUCCCACGGCCUACCCGUGGAACUGUUCGGCAUACUGCGGAGCUAGAGGAUGGUAGAGGAGAGCGGAACUCCUGGUGUAGCGGUGGAAUGCGCAGAUAUCAGGAAGAGCACCGGUGGCGAAGGCGGCUCUCUGGGCCUUACCUGACGCUGAGGAGCGAAAGCGUGGGUAGCGAACAGG